RNAcentral lists this ribosomal RNA (464 nucleotides) under uncultured bacterium. RNAcentral's name for it is "partial 16S ribosomal RNA". It matches the Rfam family "Bacterial small subunit ribosomal RNA", at positions 28 to 507 of the family's 1533-position model. The record is from RNAcentral.
GACGAACGCUGGCGGCGUGCUUAACACAUGCAAGUCGAACGGAAAGGCCCUGCUUGCAGGGUACUCGAGUGCGAACGGGUGAGUAACACGUGGGUGAUCUGCCCUGCACUUCGGGAUAAGCCUGGGAAACUGGGUCUAAUACCGGAUAGGAGCCAUUUUUAGUGUGAUGGUUGGAAAGUUUUUUCGGUGUAGGAUGAGCUCGCGGCCUAUCAGCUUGUUGGUGGGGUAAUGGCCUACCAAGGCGGCGACGGGUAGCCGGCCUGAGAGGGUGGACGGCCACAUUGGGACUGAGAUACGGCCCAGACUCCUACGGGAGGCAGCAGUGGGGAAUAUUGCACAAUGGGCGCAAGCCUGAUGCAGCGACGCCGCGUGGGGGAUGACGGCCUUCGGGUUGUAAACUCCUUUCGCUAGGGACGAAGCUUUUUGUGACGGUACCUAGAGAAGAAGCACCGGCUAACUACGUG